RNAcentral lists this long non-coding RNA (961 nucleotides) under Struthio camelus australis. RNAcentral's name for it is "lncRNA (ENSSCUG00000017088.1)". The record is from RNAcentral. Lineage: Eukaryota; Metazoa; Chordata; Aves; Struthioniformes; Struthionidae.
AGAAGAGUGUCAUGAGUGGCCUCAGCACAGGACAAGGCUGAGCAGCCCUGGAAGCAGCUCAGCCAAGCUUCCUGAAGGCAAGGAGGAAGGAUGGAGCUGGGAAGGGAACACUUUGGGGUGAAACGGUGGCUUUACUGAAGUCAGCGACAAAACCAGAGCGAAGGAGGACCCAGGGAGGUCAGUGUUUCUUUGGAGGACUUGUGUGAGGAAGAGAUUUAUAGUGGGGUUUUGAAGGGUCAUUCUGCUUGGCUCUGCUUGGUCAACCAGUAGGAAAUUACACUACUUUGUGGUUAUUUCUGCUGUAAAUUACUCGGCUACUCUUGGCGCUUGGUGUGCUGAGAAAAGCAGCAUCCCCCUCACUCCCAGCAAACGAACCCAUCGUAUUUGCUCUCCACUUGCUCACAGAAAGUAGGAAUGAACAGCCCAUAUCCUUGGUUAGCAAGAGAACGCGUGGCAGAGGGGGAGAUAUGAAGAACCAUAAGGAAUCGAAGCUGUACUGUACGGUGUUCAUUGUUCGCGAUUAAAGACAACUCCAACAGUGUGUUGCACUGAGCCAAUAGCUUCAAGCUAUUCCUAUUGUCCUCAAGGUUGCAGGCAACUUGCUUUGACUGCAUUUCGAUUCUUCCUUCGUGAUUUUACCUCAGAGGUUGGCACGUUAGGGUUGCAAAAGAAGAGCUCUAGUCAGAUCAAAAGAGGUGGCAAGCAUUGUCUGAACAGACGAGGCAUCUCUGGACGGCAUUUGAAAGCCUUUGAGCUUGUGUCCUGUCUGGUAAGAGGUUGCAAAUAUCAGAAAUCAGAAUUUCCAGCAGGUACUGCUGGGCCUUAUCACUGUAGCACUGACUUAAGAACAAGUAGCUGUAGUACAGGGGCACAAUCAGGGACACAAGAAACUCUUGGUGGGGUUGGAUGUACUGCUCCUGUUGGUGUAAGGGGAGACAUCAGAGUCUGUCCACAAAAUUAA